RNAcentral lists this unclassified non-coding RNA (389 nucleotides) under uncultured fungus. Its description in RNAcentral is "partial contains small subunit ribosomal RNA, internal transcribed spacer 1, and 5.8S ribosomal RNA". The stretch from base 1 to 73 matches the Rfam family "Eukaryotic small subunit ribosomal RNA", at positions 1759 to 1831 of the family's 1831-position model. Lineage: Eukaryota; Fungi. The record is from RNAcentral.
ACAAACUUGGUCAUUUAGAGGAAGUAAAAGUCGUAACAAGGUCUCCGUUGGUGAACCAGCGGAGGGAUCAUUACCGAAUGACAGCUCUUCUGAGCAUAACCCACGACCCCUAGAACCUACCGCGCUGCGAGAGCAGCCAGUUGCCUCGGCCGGGCUUGGCCCAGCCCGGCCGGAGGAAGGCCCGUCGAAAGAUGGGAGCAGGCAAACGCGAAAGCGACCCGGCUAGUCCCCGGGACCGUCAGAGUAUAACGUGAGAUGUGCGAGAGGGGUUUCAGGUUAGGGGGGGGAAACCCUUUCCCGCCUAACUCCUCUCUCCUCUCUCUACGAAACGAAACGUUAAAACUUUCAGCAACGGAUCUCUUGGCUCCGGCAUCGAUGAAGAACGCAGC